GACGAACGCUGGCGGCGUGCUUAACACAUGCAAGUCGAACGGUAAGGCCCUUCGGGGUACACGAGUGGCGAACGGGUGAGUAACACGUGGGUGAUCUGCCCUGCACUUCGGGAUAAGCCUGGGAAACUGGGUCUAAUCCCGGAUAGGACUCCGGAAUGCAUGGUCAGGGGUGGAAAGCUUUUGAGGUGUGGGAUGGGCCCGCGGCCUAUCAGCUUGUUGGUGGGGUGAUGGCCUACCACGGCGACGACGGGUAGCCGGCCUGAGAGGGUGACCGGCCACAUUGGGACUGAGAUACGGCCCAGACUCCUACGGGAGGCAGCAGUGGGGAAUAUUGCACAAUGGGCGCAAGCCUGAUGCAGCGACGCCGCGUGAGGGAUGACGGCCUUCGGGUUGUAAACCUCUUUCAGCAUCGACGAAGCGAAAGUGACGGUAGGUGCAGAAGAAGGACCGGCCAACUACGUGCCAGCCGCCGCUGUAA
This 478-nucleotide ribosomal RNA is filed under the name uncultured bacterium. RNAcentral's name for it is "partial 16S ribosomal RNA". It matches the Rfam family "Bacterial small subunit ribosomal RNA", at positions 28 to 523 of the family's 1533-position model. The record is from RNAcentral.